CAACAAUAGCUCAGUGGCUUCCAAUGGAGGAGGAAGCACAUACCAGAGAGGUCCCCAAAAAAGAGACUGCACAAUCCUGAACUGGAGGAGGAAAUGUGGAAAAGAUUCAGGAUAGCCACACCCUAGACUCUCCCAGGAUAUAUUUAUUAAGUCAGUCAUUAACAGCUGUAGUCUGUCAAGAUUCUGUCUAUUAAGUGUAAGCAAACAAAAGAAGUGGACUUGAUUGGAUCUCGUUGUGUCGUCUUUGGGCUUGGGCUGGGCAUAAGCUGUGCCCAGUAAAGCCGACUUUUGCAAUUGAUGGUUUUUGUCAAUGCUAAUGGUGUUCAAACGGUGCCCUAGAUAUUUUGUGAUUGCCCUCAAGGUGCCUAUUACCAUUGCGACUGUCUUUGCUUUUAUUAUUGUUAUUAUUGUCGCUCAGAAUUCUAAUUUUUUGAAAAAUAUUUCACAACCACACAGUAUUUCACUUCCAUCCUCCUGGCUUUGUCUUAGGCCAGUGAUGGCAAACCUUUUAGAGACCGAGUGCUCAAAACUGUUUGCCCUGCCCCGCUCCAUCCCACAUCCCACCCGCCGGCAGGGCCACCCACCACCUCUAUGGCCCGCCGCAGAUCACUCAGGUGGCCCAGCCGCGCCAUGGAGGCUGUGCCCCCCCCAGCAUCAUCUACAUGCAGUGGGACGCGAGGGCGGAGUCUUGUCCCCGCUGCCCGGCUGCCAUGUCCUUGGCUGCGCUGCUCUGCGCGGGCUGCGCCCGGUGGUGACUCCUCCGGGGGGACUGUUGAUGAGGGAGCCAUGGGGGGAGACGGGGCUGGAGUGAUGGUGCGCAUGCCCACAUUGAGUGCUCUGAGUGCCGCCUCUGGCCCGCGUGCCAUAGGUUCGCCACCACUGUCUUAGGCAAACAGGUCAGGAAUGUGGAAAGGCGUGACUCCAGGGCCACGUUGGCAUGCGCCAGCCCCAUUUUGCUUGUCUCUCGUGCCCAUUUGGUUAUGAAUGACUCGUUUUUUUCUUUUUUUUUCUACAGGAAAUUUGGUGAGCGACCUCCACCGAAGCGGCUCACCAGGGAAGCGAUGAGGAACUAUUUAAAGGAGCGCGGUGAUCAAACAGUCCUAAUACUUCACGCAAAAGUGGCUCAGAAAUCCUACGGAAACGAAAAGAGAUUUUUUUGCCCUCCUCCGUGUGUCUAUCUUAUGGGUAGCGGAUGGAAGAAAAAAAAAGAACAAAUGGAACGAGACGGCUGCUCUGAGCAGGAAUCUCAGCCAUGCGCCUUUAUCGGGAUUGGAAAUAGCGACCAAGAGAUGCAGCAGUUGAACUUGGAAGGAAAGAACUAUUGCACAGCUAAAACUUUGUACAUAUCAGACUCUGACAAGCGAAAGCACUUCAUGUUAUCCGUAAAAAUGUUCUAUGGCAAUAGCGACGAUAUCGGUGUUUUCCUUAGCAAACGGAUCAAAGUCAUCUCCAAGCCUUCGAAAAAGAAACAAUCACUAAAAAACGCAGACUUAUGCAUUGCAUCAGGGACAAAAGUAGCGCUGUUUAAUAGACUUCGGUCCCAAACAGUUAGUACCAGAUACUUGCAUGUAGAAGGAGGGAACUUCCACGCCAGCUCACAACAAUGGGGAGCAUUUUACAUUCAUCUCUUGGACGAUGAUGAAUCUGAAGGAGAGGAAUUCACAGUCCGAGACGGCUAUAUCCAUUAUGGUCAGACGGUCAAACUCGUUUGUUCGGUUACCGGCAUGGCGCUCCCAAGAUUGAUAAUACGGAAAGUGGACAAACAGACCGCUUUGCUAGAUGCAGAUGAUCCAGUAUCCCAGCUCCAUAAGUGUGCGUUCUACCUUAAAGAUACCGAACGAAUGUACUUGUGCCUUUCCCAAGAGCGAAUUAUCCAAUUUCAAGCCACUCCAUGCCCCAAAGAACCAAAUAAAGAGAUGAUUAAUGAUGGAGCUUCGUGGACAAUCAUUAGCACAGAUAAAGCAGAAUAUACAUUUUAUGAGGGCAUGGGACCCGUCCACGCUCCCGUAACACCUGUGCCUGUCGUAGAAAGUCUUCAGCUCAACGGUGGCGGAGAUGUAGCGAUGCUGGAACUAACCGGGCAGAACUUCACUCCAAAUUUGCGUGUCUGGUUUGGGGAUGUGGAAGCGGAAACGAUGUACAGAUGCGCCGAGAGCAUGCUGUGCGUCGUCCCAGAUAUCUCGGCAUUCCGGGAAGGAUGGCGGUGGGUCCGCCAGCCCGUCCAGGUUCCGGUCACGUUAGUGCGCAAUGAUGGCAUCAUUUACUCCACCAGCCUUACCUUCACCUACACCCCAGAGCCCGGCCCUCGGCCGCACUGCAGCGCAGCGGGAGCCAUCCUCCGAGCCAACUCAAGCCUCCUGGCCUCCAGCGAAGCGAACACAAACAACGAGGGAAGUUACACAAACGUCAGCACGAACCCCGCCAGCGUCACGUCGUCGACAGCCACCGUGGUUUCCUAACCACUGCUCUUUGUGCGGAACUUCUUAAAAAAAAAAAAACUUUUCAAGUGCUUCAAACAAUAAAACCGAACAACUUUUUUGUGGUUUCGCGAGGGGAAAGAAAAAGAAGAAGAAAAAUCGACCCCUCCUUGCCGCCGUAUGUACUUUUUAAUCACCUACAAGUGCUGAUCUUAACUUGAAGCCACAAUAAAAAAUGAAAUGCGUUGGGGGCCAGCCCCCCUUUAUGGAAAAUCUAUUUUUAGUUUGUCUCUUUAAAAAAAAAAUGGACACGUAACAAACAAAAGUGGCUGGGAUUCAAAUGAUCUAGUAAACAUGGACAAAACAUGGUUUUUAUGGACCAAGGAACACUUUAGUAGAAAAAAAGGAGCCAGUUCCAUUUUCCUGACUGGGAACAAGCCAAUCCGGGUGCAAAAAGCAGAAGAAAGACAAAUAAAUCCAGGCCAGAAAUCAAGAACAGCCACGAAGAUCUGGACUUCGGCAAACUAGAUCCCAAAACUCUCAUCACACAUGUAAAGA
Molecule: RNA transcript, 2975 nt
Organism: Crotalus tigris (Tiger rattlesnake)
Lineage: Eukaryota; Metazoa; Chordata; Lepidosauria; Squamata; Viperidae
Gene: RBPJ
Gene name: recombination signal binding protein for immunoglobulin kappa J region
Exons: 11
Source: RefSeq, a predicted model, not a curated record